CCUGCGUGCGACACAGCGGGGGAGGUGGCAGAGGGCGCCGGUCCCACAGCCGGCCCUGACGCCCUCCUUGUCCCCAGUCCCAGGUUCUCUGGGUGUUUCCCGGCCAGCCUCCCUGAGGAGGAGCGAGGGGAGGGGGGCUCCCUCUAAGGCGGCCUUGGGGAAAAGAAAGGAUUUCUGCGGCAUAGAACGGUCCAGCUUCCUUGUUUUCUGGGUGGGAAGCAGGCCUGGCCGCGUGAGGGCACCCUGUUCCGGACGCCACGGGGAUGGGGGCCUGUCGCCCUGCCAUGGCCCUGCUUCUCCCUUCUCUGUGGCUGAUCCUCCUCGUGUCCCACCCACCGCCCGGGGCAGGAUGGACCGGAGGGACUCUGGUCUCUGUCAUCGGUAGCGGUGUAGGAUUCCUGAAGGGCCCCCAGGAAACGUGAUUGACAGAUGCAGCCCAGACGACUGGAACAGGACCUGACCUGGGCCCAACAGAGUUCCAGAAUGUUCAGAACAGAGUGUGGAAAGGAAGAAACACCUCCGUGGGGUGGUUCUGUCACGGAGCUAGAAAACGGAGGCCCACACGGCACAGGAGGAAAAACAAAACAAAGACGGAAGACCCUCAAGAACCACCGCGCAGGUCUCGGCAGUUACGGUGACUGGAGCCCGCGGCUGCCCUCCCCCGCUGCCCCCAGCCCACCCAGCACUCACUUUCAUUAGCGUGCACUCCCGGGAGCCAGAGAACGCAGGGAACAGCUCCUCAUACUUCUGGACGGCGAGCUAAACGUCACAAGGGUGGAAAGAGGGGACGAGCUCAUGAAGAGGGGCCAUCGGAGCCACCGGCCUGGCAGCCAAGGGGACCUGGAGACACCUGGCCCCUGAGUCCUUCUCUGUGCCCCUCCCCCAGCGUCACCUGGCUCUGUGCCUGGCGGCACCUCCGUGGGGCUGUGCUGGGCCAAGCGUGGCUGCAGUGACAGCUUGUGGGGAGGAAGCGGGAAGGGUUUCCCAGGCUGGUGCCCAGGGCAGGGGGCAAACACCAACCGCCUCGCAGGAGUACCUCCUACGUGCCAGGGCUGGUGCUGGGCACUUCUCAGUUAACCACCAUCAGGCCCCGGGGAGGGCCACGUGAUGGGGACCCCCAUUUUGAAAGCGGGGAAACGCAAUGACCUGCUUGGGGCACAGGGGACGUGGGGGCGGGGACGUGGACCGGCCCGACAGCAAAGCCUGAGCUCUCGCCCACAGCGGGAGCGGGGGCUGGCGGCCGUGCUCAGACACACCCCGAGGCUGAGGGCGGGGUGGCCGGAGACCCCAGGAAAUGCCGAACCCGGAACCCGAGGACUCCAGCUCCUCCUCCGGCUAGGCCGUUCCCUGCCCCCUCAGCCAGCACUGGCUCCGCUCUUGCCGAGAAGCCCUGAAAAUGGGUGGUGUGGGCACGCGUGCUACCGUAUAAAUCAUGACUCUGGGAGUCAAAGAUCUGGAA
This is a long non-coding RNA of Felis catus (domestic cat), 1459 nucleotides long. RefSeq lists it as uncharacterized. Lineage: Eukaryota; Metazoa; Chordata; Mammalia; Carnivora; Felidae. The record is from RefSeq and is a predicted model, not a curated record. The transcript has 2 exons.